Long non-coding RNA from Sardina pilchardus (European sardine), 505 nucleotides. RefSeq lists it as uncharacterized. The record is from RefSeq and is a predicted model, not a curated record. The transcript has 5 exons. NCBI's taxonomy places the organism in Eukaryota, Metazoa, Chordata, Actinopteri, Clupeiformes, Clupeidae.
GAGGACUGCUGCCCUGAGACCGCUGUGUGCAUUUUUGGAAUGUUCCAAAUGUGUGUUACGUCCAUACAAAAGAAAUUCCAAGCCUGCAAUAGUGGGCUCUAUCAACUGUCCAGGGCAAAGUCGGUCUACCCUGAUGGCACUACCUGUUACUUGAUGUCUGGUAACCAUGGCUGACCUCAACGUAGUGGGUGUGGACUACAGGAGCCCUGAUGUCAAGAAUUAAUAUAGACGGUGAUGAUCGCAAGGGUGCCUCCAUAAGGUGCCAGAAGUCCUAGCCUGGAGCCAGAGGCUGCUAUUGCAAGCCAGAUGGGGGAUGAUCUAUGUAGGUGUCAGAAAGGUGGUGUACGCAGGAAGGCGAGGCAAAGAUGUGAUUAGACUACCUUCAAUAAGACAGGGCAACAGACACAUGACAGAAAGUGACUGGGAGAGAGAGACUUUGAAAGGACUGGCCUGAAACUGAACUGGGUUUCCAAGUUUAUGGUUGAGUUUAAAUGUUAAUGCUGUU